GCAGGGGUCCCGUAGUCUGGUCAAUCGGGCUAGCUUCAGAAGCUAGUGGGUUAGUCCCUACGUGAGUUCAAAUCUCACCCUCUGCA
This 86-nucleotide transfer RNA is filed under the name Candidatus Aenigmatarchaeota archaeon. RNAcentral describes it as "tRNA-Leu". It matches the Rfam family "tRNA". Rfam says of the family: Transfer RNA (tRNA) molecules are approximately 80 nucleotides in length. Their secondary structure includes four short double-helical elements and three loops (D, anti-codon, and T loops). Further hydrogen bonds mediate the characteristic L-shaped molecular structure. tRNAs have two regions of fundamental functional importance: the anti-codon, which is responsible for specific mRNA codon recognition, and the 3' end, to which the tRNAs corresponding amino acid is attached (by aminoacyl-tRNA synthetases). tRNAs cope with the degeneracy of the genetic code in two manners: having more than one tRNA (with a specific anti-codon) for a particular amino acid; and 'wobble' base-pairing, i.e. permitting non-standard base-pairing at the 3rd anti-codon position. The record is from RNAcentral. Lineage: Archaea; Nanobdellati; Candidatus Aenigmatarchaeota.